AGUGAACGCUGGCGGUAGGCCUAACACAUGCAAGUCGAACGGCAGCACAGUAAGAGCUUGCUCUUACGGGUGGCGAGUGGCGGACGGGUGAGGAAUACAUCGGAAUCUACUUUUUCGUGGGGGAUAACGUAGGGAAACUUACGCUAAUACCGCAUACGACCUACGGGUGAAAGCAGGGGAUCUUCGGACCUUGCGCGAUUGAAUGAGCCGAUGACGGAUUAGCUAGUUGGCGGGGUAAAGGCCCACCAAGGCGACGAUCCGUAGCUGGUCUGAGAGGAUGAUCAGCCACACUGGAACUGAGACACGGUCCAGACGCCUACGGGAGGCAGCAGUGGGGAAUAUUGGACAAUGGGCGCAAGCCUGAUCCAGCCAUACCGCGUGGGUGAAGAAGGCCUUCGGGUUGUAAAGCCCUUUUGUUGGGAAAGAAAAGCAGCAGGUUAAUACCCCGCUGUUCUGACGGUACCCAAAGAAUAAGCACCGGCUAACUUCGUG
RNAcentral lists this ribosomal RNA (492 nucleotides) under uncultured bacterium. RNAcentral describes it as "partial 16S ribosomal RNA". It matches the Rfam family "Bacterial small subunit ribosomal RNA", at positions 29 to 507 of the family's 1533-position model. The record is from RNAcentral.